GAUGAACGCUGGCGGCGUGCCUAAUACAUGCAAGUCGAGCGAACAGACGAGGAGCUUGCUCCUCUGACGUUAGCGGCGGACGGGUGAGUAACGCGUGGAUAACCUACCUAUCAGACUGGGAUAACUUCGGGAAACCGGCGCUAAUACCGGAUAAUAUAUUGAACCGCAUGGUUCAAUAGUGAAAGACGGUUUUGCUGUAACUUAUAGAUGGAUCCGCGCCGCAUUAGCUAGUUGGUAAGUUAACGGCUUACCAAGGCAACGAUGCGUAGCCGACUUGAGAGGGUGAUCGGCCGCACGGGAGCUGGGACACGGUCCAGACUCCUACGGGAGGCAGCAGUAGGGAAUCUUCCGCAAUGGGCGAAAGCCUGACGGAGCAACGCCGCGUGAGUGAUGAAGGUCUUCGGAUCGUAAAACUCUGUUAUUAGGGAAGAACAAAUGUGUAAGUAACUAUGCACGUCUUGACGGUACCUAAUCAGAAAGCCACGGCUAACUACGUG
This 497-nucleotide ribosomal RNA is filed under the name uncultured bacterium. Its description in RNAcentral is "partial 16S ribosomal RNA". It matches the Rfam family "Bacterial small subunit ribosomal RNA", at positions 28 to 507 of the family's 1533-position model. The record is from RNAcentral.